AUUAGGACUCUAGCUAGGAGAGUCCUAAUUGAGAGGGACAUUCAUGUAAAACUGUUAGGACUUUAGCUAGGAGAGUCCUAAUUGAGAGGGACAUUCUGUUAGGACUCUAGCUAGGAGAGUCCUAAUUGAGAGGGACAUUCUGUUAAGACUCUAGUUAGGAGAGUCCUAAUUGAGAGGGACAUUCAUGUAGGAGAUUUUUUCUUAGAGAAGAAUUAGGAGUUGUAAG
Molecule: long non-coding RNA, 226 nt
Filed under: Musa acuminata (dwarf banana)
Lineage: Eukaryota; Viridiplantae; Streptophyta; Magnoliopsida; Zingiberales; Musaceae
Description: long non-coding RNA (MACU_LNC000649)
Source: RNAcentral